GGUUCCUCCUGUCGUGGAGGUUAAGGGGUGAGGAGGUCCCUCCUGUCGUUGAGAUGAAGGGGUGAGGAGGUCCCUCCUGUCGUUGAGAUGAAGGGGUGAGGAGGUCCCUCCUGUAGUGGAGGUUAAGGGGUGAGGAGGUCCCUCCUGUAGUGGAGGUGAAGGGGUGAGGAGGUCCCUCCUGUCGUUGAGAUGAAGGGGUGAGGAGGUCCCUCCUGUCGUUGAGAUGAAGGGGUGAGGAGGUGAAGGGGUGAGGAGGUUCCUCCUGUAGUGGAGGUUAAGGGGUGAGGAGGUUCCUCCUGUAGUGGAGGUUAAGGGGUGAGGAGGUCCCUCCUGUAGUGGAGGUGAAGGGGUGAGGAGGUCCCUCUUGUCGUUGAGAUGAAGGGGUGAGGAGGUCCCUCCUGUCGUUGAGAUGAAGGGGUGAGGAGGAUCCUCCUUGGGUGGGGGGGGUUAGCAGUGGUCAGACUUGGUCUCAUCCCCCUAUACCAUCCAAGAACCUCUCCUCACCUGAUGUCAACCUACCAUUGCAUUAACGUUUUGUUUCUCCUGUGCAUCAUUUCUAUUCAUGUUUAUAUUUAAUGGCGAUCCUAUUUUCUUCUACAUAUCUUCUGCAAACACAGUUGAAGGUCAAAUGUUUUGUUUUUGUUUGUUUUUAACGACGUGUGUUGAAAGAACUGAACAAAAUGAGUUUUGGCAUGAACUACUUGGGCACCUUAAG
Gadus macrocephalus (Pacific cod) is the source of this 715-nucleotide long non-coding RNA. RefSeq lists it as uncharacterized. Lineage: Eukaryota; Metazoa; Chordata; Actinopteri; Gadiformes; Gadidae. The record is from RefSeq and is a predicted model, not a curated record. The transcript is spliced from 3 exons.